CGUUAAAGACCGUACUUUGACCUAUAGUUGUUGAAUUUUACUAAUCAUCACUUGGACGGUGAGUUGUCUCAUUAGCAUUCAUACCAUAUCUUAUCAUAUCUAUAAAUACGUAUAUUAACUUUACUUUUGAUUUAUGCAUAAUGUUCAUUGUAUAAACGUAAAAAAAUCAUUAAAUUGUGUUUGUGACUGUAAACAUGCAAGUCGGACC
RNAcentral lists this long non-coding RNA (208 nucleotides) under Mytilus galloprovincialis (Mediterranean mussel). Lineage: Eukaryota; Metazoa; Mollusca; Bivalvia; Mytilida; Mytilidae. The record is from RNAcentral.